RNAcentral lists this ribosomal RNA (484 nucleotides) under Shewanella baltica. Its description in RNAcentral is "bacterial SSU rRNA". It matches the Rfam family "Bacterial small subunit ribosomal RNA", at positions 26 to 497 of the family's 1533-position model. The record is from RNAcentral. Lineage: Bacteria; Pseudomonadati; Pseudomonadota; Gammaproteobacteria; Alteromonadales; Shewanellaceae.
AGAUUGAACGCUGGCGGCAGGCCUAACACAUGCAAGUCGAGCGGCAGCGGGAAGAUAGCUUGAUAUCUUUGCCGGCGAGCGGCGGACGGGUGAGUAAUGCCUAGGGAUYUGCCCAGUCGAGGGGGAUAACAGUUGGAAACGACUGCUAAUACCGCAUACGCCCUACGGGGGAAAGGAGGGGACCUUCGGGCCUUCCGCGAUUGGAUGAACCUAGGUGGGAUUAGCUAGUUGGUGAGGUAAUGGCUCACCAAGGCGACGAUCCCUAGCUGUUCUGAGAGGAUGAUCAGCCACACUGGGACUGAGACACGGCCCAGACUCCUACGGGAGGCAGCAGUGGGGAAUAUUGCACAAUGGGGGAAACCCUGAUGCAGCCAUGCCGCGUGUGUGAAGAAGGCCUUCGGGUUGUAAAGCACUUUCAGUAGGGAGGAAAGGUAGYAGYUUAAUACGCURUURCUGUGACGUUACCUACAGAAGAAGGACCGGC